Molecule: ribosomal RNA, 671 nt
Filed under: uncultured Leptothrix sp.
Lineage: Bacteria; Pseudomonadati; Pseudomonadota; Betaproteobacteria; Burkholderiales; Sphaerotilaceae
Description: bacterial SSU rRNA
Rfam family: Bacterial small subunit ribosomal RNA
Source: RNAcentral
AGUCGAACGGUAGAGGGGCAACCCUUGAGAGUGGCGAACGGGUGAGUAAUGCAUCGGAACGUGCCCAGUAGUGGGGGAUAGCCCGGCGAAAGCCGGAUUAAUACCGCAUGAGACCUGAGGGUGAAAGCGGGGGAUCGCAAGACCUCGCGCUAUUGGAGCGGCCGAUGUCAGAUUAGCUAGUUGGUGGGGUAAAGGCCUACCAAGGCGACGAUCUGUAGCUGGUCUGAGAGGACGACCAGCCACACUGGGACUGAGACACGGCCCAGACUCCUACGGGAGGCAGCAGUGGGGAAUUUUGGACAAUGGGCGCAAGCCUGAUCCAGCCAUGCCGCGUGCGGGAAGAAGGCCUUCGGGUUGUAAACCGCUUUUGUCAGGGAAGAAAUCUUCUGGGCUAAUAUCCUGGGAGGAUGACGGUACCUGAAGAAUAAGCACCGGCUAACUACGUGCCAGCAGCCGCGGUAAUACGUAGGGUGCAAGCGUUAAUCGGAAUUACUGGGCGUAAAGCGUGCGCAGGCGGUUAUAUAAGACAGAUGUGAAAUCCCCGGGCUCAACCUGGGAACUGCAUUUGUGACUGUAUAGCUAGAGUACGGUAGAGGGGGAUGGAAUUCCGCGUGUAGCAGUGAAAUGCGUAGAUAUGCGGAGGAACACCGAUGGCGAAGGCAGUCCCCUGG